CAUCUUGCUAUGAAAAUCGCUCACCACAGAAGCCAGGCCUGUUGCUGGCCUGGGAGGAAGGAAGGGGUGGUUAGGGAAGAGAUGGAGUGGCAUGCCCUGUGAUAAGGCCAGGAGGCCGAGGCCAGGAGGCUGGAACCUGCAGGGCCCCGUCUGUGCUUGGCCUCACUUGUCAAGCACCCACAUUCUCCUUACAAUGGCUGAAGCCAGGGACAUCAGACCCAGAGCCUGUGGCUACAAGGAACGAGGAAGCAGCCACACCUCUCCGAGACUCAGUCUCCCCACUGGAAAAGGGGGAGCACAGUCUCCACAUCCGCCGGGUGACUGGAGAAGCUGAGCCGUGCAGCCGACCUCGAUCUUACCCCUGUGCAGCAGCAGGCGGCUUUCCACACAGAGGUGCCGCCUUGUCCACCCAGCUCACGCUUGGCAGACAAAUCAAAAGGCUAUAAAUAGACACGUCUCAGUUCUCAUAAAUGGGUUAAAUAUGA
Apodemus sylvaticus (European woodmouse) is the source of this 485-nucleotide long non-coding RNA. RefSeq lists it as uncharacterized. The transcript is spliced from 2 exons. NCBI's taxonomy places the organism in Eukaryota, Metazoa, Chordata, Mammalia, Rodentia, Muridae. The record is from RefSeq and is a predicted model, not a curated record.